RNAcentral lists this long non-coding RNA (670 nucleotides) under Eucalyptus grandis. RNAcentral describes it as "long non-coding RNA (EGRA_LNC000034)". Lineage: Eukaryota; Viridiplantae; Streptophyta; Magnoliopsida; Myrtales; Myrtaceae. The record is from RNAcentral.
AGUGGAGUGGGCACAUUGAUCUUGAUUCAAUCUUAGGAAUGCAGAGAUAUUAUGCAAAUGUGCAGGGAUAGUUUGUUCAAAACAGAGAUGAGCAUGAAAAGGCACAAGGUUUCCGGAUGUGCCUGGACAAGAUAUGAUGAAUUAUGAUCACCUGACUUAAUGUGAAAAACAUCGGAUCAACAUUUAAAUUAGGGGGAAUAGGGGGAAUCUCUCCUUCCCCCGCCAAUGAGGUGUGUCGAGGCCAUCAAAUUUAUCAGUAAAGGAUGUAUCAUUGAGCCCAAUUAAGUAUGGAGAUAACACGUUCUAAUUUUUUUUCUCAGAGGGGGAUAAUUGAGGCAAGUCCUGAUGAAUGAAGACAUGAAGCAAAAUGAAAUUGAUUCAACACAAGAAGGGUGUAUCGUUCCUAAAUUAGUCCAAUUCAAGUUUGAAAUGCAAGUAACAUGUCCCAUCUCUUGUAGGACAAGGCGCACAUCAACUGCGGGAGCGACGCCUUCUACGAAGUUGGCAUGCUAAGGCCAUCCAUUUUGUUGUAAAGGAUGUAUAUCGUUCCUAAAAUGAUUUCUUGUCAAGUGUGGAAAUAACAUGCCCAGUCUUCUAAAUGUCUUUUUGAGAAGAGCAUUUGAAAAGAGCAAGAAUUGAAUUUUGUGGAUUAUCGUUGCAGUAAAGAAAC